This 267-nucleotide ribosomal RNA is filed under the name Lentilactobacillus parabuchneri. Its description in RNAcentral is "Lactobacillus parabuchneri partial 16S ribosomal RNA". It matches the Rfam family "Bacterial small subunit ribosomal RNA", at positions 268 to 527 of the family's 1533-position model. The record is from RNAcentral. Lineage: Bacteria; Bacillati; Bacillota; Bacilli; Lactobacillales; Lactobacillaceae.
CCAAGGCAAUGAUACGUAGCCGACCUGAGAGGGUAAUCGGCCACAUUGGGACUGAGACACGGCCCAAACUCCUACGGGAGGCAGCAGUAGGGAAUCUUCCACAAUGGACGAAAGUCUGAUGGAGCAACGCCGCGUGAGUGAUGAAGGGUUUCGGCUCGUAAAACUCUGUUGUUGGAGAAGAACAGGUGUGAGAGUAACUGUUCACAUCUUGACGGUAUCCAACCAGAAAGCCACGGCUAACUACGUGCCAGCAGCCGCGGUAAUACG